CGGACGGGUGAGUAAUGUCUGGGAAACUGCCUGAUGGAGGGGGAUAACACUGGAAACGGUAGCUAAUACCGCAUAACGUCGCAAGACCAAAGAGGGGGACCUUAGGGCCUCUUGCCAUCGGAUGUGCCCAGAUGGGAUUAGCUAGUAGGUGGGGUAACGGCUCACCUAGGCGACGAUCCCUAGCUGGUCUGAGAGGAUGACCAGCCACACUGGAACUGAGACACGGUCCAG
RNAcentral lists this ribosomal RNA (231 nucleotides) under uncultured bacterium. RNAcentral describes it as "partial 16S ribosomal RNA". It matches the Rfam family "Bacterial small subunit ribosomal RNA", at positions 99 to 334 of the family's 1533-position model. The record is from RNAcentral.